RNAcentral lists this non-coding RNA (148 nucleotides) under Nomascus leucogenys (northern white-cheeked gibbon). The record is from Rfam by way of RNAcentral. Lineage: Eukaryota; Metazoa; Chordata; Mammalia; Primates; Hylobatidae.
GCCGGGCAUGUUGGCGCAUGCCUGUAGUCCCAGCUACUAGGGAGGCUGAGGCAGGAGGAUCACUUGAACUCUGGAGGUAGAGGUUGCAGUGAGCCGAGAUUGCACCACUGCACUCCAGCCUGAGCAACAGAGUGAGAUCCUGUCUCAA